GUAUUUUUUUCGUGUAAACACAGACACUACGGUGACGUCAUUUCCUGUUGCCUUCGCGCGCUUCUGGUCGCUUUCGAAAUGAGGAGGUGUUUGUGAUAAACAUUUCUGAAGUUGCUGUUGACGUCUGUACUGGUGCACAGGGCAUUCAAUCUGUACAGAUUCUGGACAGGGAGAACGAAUGGUACAAGAGGAGUGAGGGAAGCAAUCUAUGUCAAGAAUGAAAAACCAUCCCUGAACAAAGGAGGUGGUCUGCGACACCACCUGUCUCCCACAUACAACACUGUCCUUUCAACCACUCCUAAGAGACUAUGCAAUUCAGCCUCAAACAAACAAAUAAGAGUUGGAAAACAAAGGACAUUCUGGUCACAGAAUGUGACCAGAAUGUCAUUUGUUUACAACUGAAUGGAAUGCUUACGCGGGAUUUCAUCAAUUUUGGACUGGUGGUGGUCUAGCCCCAGGGAUUGCUCUGCCACAUAAUACCUCUAUGCUCACAAGGGCAAAUUACAGUUCGACUGUCGUUGGUUUUGACAGUUAAGAUUGCUUGAUUGCAUUAAAACAGUUGUUUUUGUCACUACGAUAAGGCAAAACCAUCUUUGCCGAGGAACACCCUUCUGGUUUUAACUUUAACAUUUGGGGUUUUGGCACCAGCUGCUAGACUAGAUGUGACCGAUUUAAGUCUAUGAGCACAAACUGAUGAAGCCUAAUCAGAUGAGAGGCAAAACAUCUUCUAAGACAAACCAAACAGUCCAGUUGCGAUUGAUUGAAUGCGCUGAGAUUAUGUGAAAAAAACCUUUUAAUAUUAGUCAUUAUUGGGGCUGUAGCUAUCGAUUAGUUUGUUCCAUUAAGAGAGUAAUCGGACAAACCACACUUUAUACUUGAGCACUUUAUAGCCUAAAUGCAUAUUUUUGUGAACUUCUUUGAAAUAAAAACAUUUUACGCUUGCCAUAACCUUCAUUCUUUUUUUUAAUAAACGCUAGGGGUGUAUCGGUACGCGUAUUUGUAUCAAACCGUUUCGGUACGGGGGUUUCGGUUCGGCACGUGGGCGUACCGAACAAGUUCGGAAGCAGAAGUCUUCACAAGCUGCUCUGCUUUCUGCCUCUGUCUCUGCCUCAUUGUCCCGCCCACACAACCAUCUGAUUGGUUACACACAAAGCCAAUCAGCAGUGCGUAUUCAGAGCAAUGUAACAGCCAAUCAGCAGUGCGUAUUCAGACUUCAGAACGAUGUAGUCAAUGCUUUAGCAUCGAGCAGAUAUUUGUCUAGC
Nerophis ophidion (straightnose pipefish) is the source of this 1262-nucleotide long non-coding RNA. RefSeq lists it as uncharacterized. The transcript is spliced from 3 exons. Lineage: Eukaryota; Metazoa; Chordata; Actinopteri; Syngnathiformes; Syngnathidae. The record is from RefSeq and is a predicted model, not a curated record.